This 253-nucleotide ribosomal RNA is filed under the name uncultured bacterium. Its description in RNAcentral is "partial 16S ribosomal RNA". It matches the Rfam family "Bacterial small subunit ribosomal RNA", at positions 524 to 776 of the family's 1533-position model. The record is from RNAcentral.
UACAGAGGGUGCAAGCGUUAAUCGGAAUCACUGGGCGUAAAGCGCGCGUAGGCGGUCCGUUAAGUGGGAUGUGAAAUCCCCGGGCUUAACCUGGGAAUUGCAUUUCAAACUGGCGGACUAGAGUGCGGUAGAGGGAGGUAGAAUUUCCUGUGUAGCGGUGAAAUGCGUAGAUAUAGGAAGGAAUACCAGUGGCGAAGGCGGCCUCCUGGAUCGACACUGACGCUGAGGCGCGAAAGCGUGGGGAGCAAACAGG